CCGCUGGUCGUCUAGUUGGUUUAUGGCACUGGACUGUAAUAUCAUGAUCUGCUAUCCAGGUGUCGUCGGUUCGACUCCGACCCAGCGGA
This is a transfer RNA of 89 nucleotides. It matches the Rfam family "tRNA". Rfam says of the family: Transfer RNA (tRNA) molecules are approximately 80 nucleotides in length. Their secondary structure includes four short double-helical elements and three loops (D, anti-codon, and T loops). Further hydrogen bonds mediate the characteristic L-shaped molecular structure. tRNAs have two regions of fundamental functional importance: the anti-codon, which is responsible for specific mRNA codon recognition, and the 3' end, to which the tRNAs corresponding amino acid is attached (by aminoacyl-tRNA synthetases). tRNAs cope with the degeneracy of the genetic code in two manners: having more than one tRNA (with a specific anti-codon) for a particular amino acid; and 'wobble' base-pairing, i.e. permitting non-standard base-pairing at the 3rd anti-codon position. The record is from Rfam.